Molecule: long non-coding RNA, 1490 nt
Organism: Crotalus tigris (Tiger rattlesnake)
Lineage: Eukaryota; Metazoa; Chordata; Lepidosauria; Squamata; Viperidae
Exons: 6
Source: RefSeq, a predicted model, not a curated record
CAAGAUUCUGUCUAUAGAUGAGGAACAAGAAACAAAUCUGCUUGGAAGAAUUACAAUGUGUCUUUCUUGGGUUUUGGAGCUUGAUAAUAAUUGUUGCUAAACAAGGACUAUGUAUACUUUAUUGUUAAUUAUAAUAAUAGUCAAAAGUUUGACUCUUACACUGGAAGGAGUCAGGGAAGGAUCAGCUUGAAUCUUUUCUUAAUCCUAUCUCUGUUUCAAGGACUUGAAGAACGCUUCCAUCUUCUUUGUUUACACUACAAUAUUGGCCUCAAGGCUACUUCUCUGGGUCACUGCCGACAGUUAUGGCAUCAGGAAGGAAGCUUUUUCUUCUUGUUAUAAAUAUCAGUGUGAAGAGAGGAUACAUGAAGAUCAAGGUGGAGGAUUGUCUUUCGAAAUAAGAUGGUACUAUAUGAUUACUUACUGCAGUGAAGAAACAGCAAGACAGCUAAACCUAGAAUAAAAGGAAAAUAGAAGACAAAUGAGCUAAAAUAAUGGCAGUAACCAAUCUCCAUCACAGCUACUGAAAACCUAAAUUCCUUGAUGCCAUCCAUGCAAACCUGAAUGAGGAUCUGAUUAUCUAUCUGGAUAGAGCCGAACAAGAUCAAAGAAGCAAGAACUACAUAGAUUUUCCUUGAAUGUCAUAACACUGACAUUCUUUGGCUGAGAAGAUUUGCAGCAUGCCCAUUCUGCUACAUUGGAUUGGAUGGAUAGAGACUCUUGGAAAAAGCAGUCCCUCAGUCAACCAGUGGAAGAGAUUGCCUUCAGAAGAUGUGGGAGCUUCAUCACUGGAAACUUUCAAGAAGAGGCUGGACUGCCAACUGUCAAAAAUGGUGUCAGGUCUCCUGAUGGAUGGGGGGGGAUUGGACUAGAUGACCUACAAGGUCCCUUCCAGCUGUUAUUCUAUUUUAUUCCUAAAUGUAAUAUGAAAUGCUCUGUUGGCAAUAUGGGGGGAGCCUUUAUGUCAGCCUAAAAUUUGACCCACACUACAGCUUUUGCAAAAAUACAUUUGUAGUAUGUAAAAUAAAAAAACGAGGAAAAAAGAAACAAAAAAAACCAGGAGAAUAGGGUAAUAUUGUAUCAAAUGAAAAUGUUCUGCAAAAGGUUUUUAUAGCAUAUUGAGAAAAGAGGUUUAUAAAACAAAAUGUUGAGGUGGGAAUGUGUUUUAAGUAUAGUAUGCUGCUACUAAAUAUACAGGAAAAUGUAAGAGCAAUUGAGAAAUGCAUGGAUGGAAUUAGAAUUUGGUGGCACAAGGCUAAAAAAUCGAAUCUAUGCAUUACAAUACAAGCUACGGAAGCUCAAGCAGUCGCCACAUUUUAGGCUAAAGUCACACUACGGUAAUAGCAUGUGACUCAUACUAUUAUCUCAAGGACCAAGUUGUAACCUAAAUAACAAAGGAGCCUCAACUGAUGACUGUCAAUGUCUUCACUGUAAUUGCUUACAUGAACUCCUCUCCCAAGUGCUAUGAUUUAAAAUAAAAAGCCAUUAAAUGA